UGCCAAUGUCCUAAAGGAAUGCUACUUGGUUGAUCCUACCAGUAGCCAUGCAUGUGUAAGUAUGAACUAUUCAAACUGUGAAACUAUGAAUGGCUUAUUAAAUUAGUUAUAGUUUGUUUGAUGGUAUUUACUACUUAGAUAACCAUAGUAAUUCUAGAGCUAAUACAUCUAACAAACCCCAACAUCUAGAAGGGAUGCAUUUGUUAGAUAGUAGGUCGAUGCCGACUUUCCCUUUUGCUCUAUGAUUAAUGAUAACUCAAUGAAUUGCAUGGGCUUUAAGCCGAUGAUGCAUCAUUCAAAUUUUGCCCUAUCAACUUUCAAAGUAGGAUAGUGGCCUACUAUGGUGGUGAUGGGUGAUGGAGAAUUAGGGUUCGAUUCCAAAAAGGGAGCCUGAGAAAUGGCUACCACUUCCAAGGAAUGUAGUAGGCGCAUACCAAUCCCGACACAGGGAGAUAGUGAUAAUAAAUAACAAUACCAGGCUCUAUGAGUCUAGUAAUUAGAAUGAGUAUAAUCUAAAUCACUUAACGAGGAUCCAUUGGAGGCAAGUUUGGUGUCAGCAACCAUAGUAAUUCUAGCUCUAAUAGCAUAUAUUUAAGUUAUUGAAAUUAAAAGCUCAUAGUUGGAACUAGGGUUGGGUUAGCUAUUCUGCCUCACGAUGAGCACCAAUCUACUCAUCCAUACUGCUAGUGAUGCACUCUUGGCCUUAACUGGUUAGGUUGUUCCUCUGACACUAUUUCUUUGAAGAAAUUACAAUGCGCAAAGUAGGCCUAUGCUAGUAUACAUUAGCAUCAAAUAACAUCAUAUGAUUUCGAUCCUAUUAUGUUGGCCUUCGUGAUCGAAGUAAUGAUUAAAAGAAACCAUCGAUGACAUUCAUAUUUCAUAGUCAGAGGUGAAAUUCUUAGAUUUAUGAAAGAUGAACAAUUGCAAAAGCACUUGCCAAGAAUGUUUUCAUUAAUCAAGAAUGAAAGGUGGCAGCUUGAAGAUAAUCAAAUACCAUUUUAGUCUUAACCAUAAAUGAUGCCAAUCAAGGAUCGACAAAUGUUACUUUUAGGACUCUGCUAGCAUUUUAUAAGAAACCAAAAUCUUUGGUUUCUAAGGGAAGCAUAGUUGUAAGGCUGAAACUUAAAGGAAUUGAUUAAAGGGCACCACUAGGAGUAGAGCUUAUGGCUUAAUUUGACUCAACACAGGAAAACUUUCCAAGUCUCAAUAUAAUAAGGAUUGACAGAUUGAUAGCUCUUUCUUGAUUCUAUGGGUGGUGGUGCAUGGUUGUUCUUAGUUGGUGAAGUGAUUUGUCUGGUUAAUCCCAUUAAUGAACAAGACCUUAGCCUACAAACUAGCUACGUAGAGGUGAUCCUUUGUGUCUAGCUUCUUAGAGGGACUAUGGCUGCUUAGGUAAAGGAAGUUUAAGGCAAUAACAAGUCUGUUAUACCCUUUGAUGUUCCACACUAUAGUGCGCUACAUUGAUUAUUCAAUAAGUCUAUAGCCUUGGCCAACAGGCCUAGGUAAUCUUUGAAAUUUUAUUGUGAUGAGGAUAGAUCAUUGCAAUUGUUAGUCUUCAAGAGGAAUUCCUAGUAAGCGUGAGUCAUAAGCUCAUGUUGACUACAUCCCUACCUUUUAUACACAUCGCCCAUCACUCUUAUCAAUUGAAUGAUCUAGUUAAGUGUUAGGAUUAUGACAAUGUGGAUGGUUAAUGGUCAAUGAUGUUGUGAGAAGUCCACUGAACCUUAUCAUUUAAAGGAAAGAGAAGUCAUAACAAGGUUUUUAUAGGUGAACAUAUAGAAG
RNAcentral lists this ribosomal RNA (1782 nucleotides) under Durio zibethinus. RNAcentral's name for it is "SSU rRNA". It matches the Rfam family "Eukaryotic small subunit ribosomal RNA". The record is from RNAcentral. Lineage: Eukaryota; Viridiplantae; Streptophyta; Magnoliopsida; Malvales; Malvaceae.